AUGGUUAGAAUUCCACUCAAUCUGUGACGUACUUUUCCAAAUCAUGAGAAAGAACUGGAUACAAAAGUAGCAGGGAGAAGAGGUCAGUUCCCUCUCUCUGCUUGGGACAGGCAGUGGCUAUCACGGAGUAACAGUUCACUGGGAAAGGAAAGAGGAGGGAAGAGAUUCAGGGAUGGUCCUGUAUCAGCCUGUGCCUUGCAGGGGUUCAGCCAUGCAACCCCCACCCCGUUCCUUUGAAGUUGAACCAGUAGAGCAUUUUGUUUCAAACUACGUACGUCCUUUGUCCUUCAAAAUUUCCCGUGCUAGAACCUCUUAAAAAUCAGUUAUCUAGUUGAGAAAGUCAAACCCGGAACAGAGAGGCCAGUUCUGUAUGGGGGAAAAAAUGAAGCUGGGGACUGCCGGCCAGAAAUCACAGGUCUCCAUGACCCACCUCCAGGAGAAUGAGAUCGUGGUGUCCAGGGCAGCUGCAGAUGGGCCUAGGUCCACUUUCUGGUGACUCAAUACAAGGCAGAAUGAGAGAAAACAGCAAGAGAGCAAGAGAGAGCUGGAUGCAGUGACUUGGUCCAUGAGUCCUUGCUUUGUUUCCAGCCGUUACCACUGCUUAGUUGUGUGAUCUGGGCCGCAGUUUCCAGUCUGUAAAAUGAAGAUGGUCCUAGAUGAUUGCUAAGGGGUGUUCUAGCUCUGAUGUUUUCGAGUUCAGUAAAGGACUUCUGGCACAGUAGCAAGGAGGUAUGAAAUAGGUAUCUCCCAUCCAAGUACUAACCAGACCCAAGCCUGCUUAGUUUCUGAGAUCAGAAAAGAUUAGACACUUUUAGGCUGGUGUGGCCACAGAUUAAAACAGUUAUCCAAGGACAUUUGUAGUGUUUCCUUCCCAGGGAUAUGAAAAUCCAGGCAAGAAUCUUGAUCAUCUCAGAGAGCUUAAGAGAGGUCCUAUCUGGAGCCUGGGUCAUAAAUCAGAUGACGUCUCAGCCCUGGGAAUCUGUUGAUCUAGGAUAAAACGGAUGGGAAGCCAGCUCAGAACAAAUUCCAGGACUGAGUGAGUUAAUAGGCAUUCCUGACCUCUCCAUAGGUAGGAGUGGGGGCACCCCAAUGUGGCUGGCAGUAAAAGCAGGGAGCCCAGUGUCUUUGCCACCUGAAACUUGAUGUAGUCAGAGCUUUUGCCAGGGCUUUCCUGCCUCUACUUGUGUUAGUCAGCCUAGGCUAGGCUGCAGUAACAAACAGGCCGCCCAGAUGCAGCAGCUUCAUACCAUAUGUGUUUCGUUCUUGUUCCCCUACCAGCCUCAGACACUGACGUUCAGCUCAUUGAGCUGUGUGGAGAAGCUGUCCCACAGAAGGGAAUAAGAAAGCACAUUAUGGUGGUUCUGCCAUAUUCUAGUAUGGCUUCCAAAGUUGCUGUGGGAAUUGGUAUCCCAGUCAGCCAGAGGUGAAUAUAACAUGGUGGUGUGAGCAGAGGAGGUUUUGGCGGGCUGGUCUGGAAGUGCCUCAUCUCCUCUUACAUUCCACUGGAGAGAGCAUGGUCACAUGGCUCACCCAACUGCACAGGCAGCUGGGAAAUGUAGUCUAGCCACAUAGGCAAAGAAGGGGAGAAGGGAUUUAGGUAGACGGCUAACAAUCUCGGCCCUACCCCUUGAUAUCCGUAGGGCAGGGAAAGAAAGGGAGAAUAAAAAGAUACAUCCUUUGGUCUGUUUCCUUCUUUAUGAGGGUGUUGAAUCAAAUGAUCUCUCAAGGCCCACCUACUCUAACAUUCAGUGGUGUGAAGGGGCCAUGAAAUGUCCUUCUGCACCGAAGUGAGCAAACUGUACAGGUUCCUGCCAUAGCAGACCUGCAGCUUGAGGAAGCCUCCUCUGCUGAUUGGUCUGACUGGUAGACUCACAGAGGGGACCUUGGCUCUCUCUAAGUUCUGUUCCUCAGCUACUCUCAUUAUUUGGCCAAGUCAGGUAAUCUCUCUUGAUCUGUUUCCUUAGCUGUCCCAUGGGGAGAAAAAUCAUUUCCCUCUGCUGCCUCUUGGGGUUGGUCUGAGGAUAUGAUGAGAUCACUGCCCAGAAGGCACCAGGAGCUCUUCUGACUGAAGAGCUCUGCAUGAUGCCCUUAUUGCAGCCAGAGCCUUUUAUAACACUGCAUUCUAACCUGGCCCCAUGUGUGCCCAGUUCCUGAGGAUGGUGCCUGUGCAGGAUUUGUGGCCACGCGGGUUGGCAUUGCCAUGGCUGGAAUGCAGUGGCAAGUGCACAGCAGUAACACCCACGGACACUCGGGACUCUGGUGACCAGCGGCCCCUGAGGGGCCUGGAUUGAGCGUCACCUAGGGACAGGUAGGCUGGGCCCAGGGAUCACUGUCUCCACUGGGGCAUCUGGCCGGAUUCUCUGUUAAGUGCUUAUCACCCUAUUAAACCCUGAGAAUGUUUGCUCAUCCUCUCAUUUGCUUGUCCCCUCCCACUCGCAAUCUACGAGGUGCUUUCUGGGACGUUCUGUGCCUUACUAAUCUUUAUAUCCUCAGAAUCCAAAAUAGGACUUUCUUUUACUUAGCCAGUCAACAAAUAUUUACUGAGUGAGUACACUGUGCCCGGCACUGUGGUGGGUGCAUGGCAAGUCAGUGGCAUCGAAGAGCUUAAAGGUUUGGAGGAGACAGACAGUAAUUAAAAGAGCAUAAAUGUAAAUUUGUCACGUGUAAGUGCCUGAAGGAGACCAGUCAGGAGGGUAUGUUGAGUUUCCCUGUGGACAUGAAAUUGAGUCCUGAUCUGAAAGCUGUGUAGGCUGUUAACCAGGCAAAUCCGAGUGGGGAGAGUAUGUGCAAAGCUCCUGAGGCAGGAGGAAGUGGGAUACAUGGAAAGGACUGGAAGAAAGCCAGUGUGGCUGAGACAGAGCGUAAGGAAGACCACGCAAGGAGGCAAGCCUGGAGACUUUGAAAGGAACUAAGUCAGGGAGACUUAACAGCUCAUUUUAAGGAUUUCUUCUUUUUUAAGAGUUUAAGGACGUCAUUAUAAAGAAGUAGAGAAGGUACAGUAUGGUGAAGGUGGAGGUGGAGGAGGAGUUAAGGGGUGAGGUGCGCCAUGAUUUGGGAUUGGAAAUCAUCAUUCUAACUAUGAUAAGAGAAACAAUUUUGAAAGAAACAAGAACUGAUGCUUGGACUCUCAGAGUCCAAGUGGGAAGUUGAUCACUCCUGGACAAGGGUAAUAGAAGUAAAUUCAGAGAAUGUGGAUUUGAGAGACUGUAGGUGGUAAAAUCCACCAGACAUAUUGAUGGACAUGGAGGAUGAGGGAGAGAGUGUGGCAAGAUAGCUCAGGUUUCUGGUAUCCAUGAUUGGAUGGAUGGUGUACCAUUUACAAGGAGAGGGAACAGUGGACAAGAACUGUUUGGAUCUACAGACUUGGAGCUGUAGAUUCAAGGCGGUCCAAGUUUAAGGUUUGGAGUCUGAGGGGUGCAAGGGGAUGCGAUUAUCUAGGGAAGAGAGUAUCGUGGUCAGAGAAGACAGGCUGAAAAUGAGUCCUGAUGAACACAAUAUGAAAUGACUAAGAGAGAAGGCUGAGCCAGAAAAAAGACUGGAAAGGAGCCACUGAGAGAUAGGAGAAAACCCAGAAGGUUAUAUCACCCCAGCAAAGGGAAGGAGAUCCUGGUUCACAGUGUGCAAUGCUGCCGAAAGGUCAAGUGAGGUGAAGACUGAAAAUAGCCCUUCGUUUUAGCAACAUUGAAAUCACUGGUGAUCAUAAGAGAAGUGACUUCAGCGGAGUGUUCAGAGCAGUGUCCACAUGGAGAACACUGGAAGGAGUGUGAGCUGAGGAAGCUGAGCAGCUGGAAAUCACUUUUCAAUAGAGUUUGACUCUGAAGAGGGAGAGUGAGCUCGGACGGCAACUAGAGAGGAAAGAGUAGAGGGGAGUUCUUGUUUUUAGGGGAACAUUUGGAUGUGGAAAUGGUCUGUAUGGAGGGGAAAAGUCAAAGGCCUAAGAAAGAUGGUGGACAGGAUAAGGUUUCUGAGAAGCAGGAGGGGACAGGAUCCCGGGCCCACGUGGACGGACUGGCCUGGAGGCGAGGAAGAGGAGAGGGUGGUGCACUGCAGGCCCUGGACUUCCCUCUGAGGACUUCAGUUUUCUUGGUAAAGUAGGGGACUUGACUUGUAAAAGAGGCUACUUGCUGUGAGUGGAGGGAAUGGAGCGGCCUGAGGGAUUUGAAAUGUUGAGAAACACCAAUGUAUUCUUUUCCGAAAGCUGCUGUAACAAAGUCCCACAAACUGAGUGCCUGAAACAACAGACGUGUAUCCUCUCACUGUGUGGAGGCUGGAAUUCUGAAAUCCAGAUGUCAGGGGCACUGUGCUCCCUCUGAAGCCUCCAGGAGAGAGCUUGUCCUUGCCUCUUCCUAGCUUUGGCGGUGGUUGGCAAUGCUUGUUGUUCCUUGGCUUGUCACCCCUGCCGCCAUGAUCACAUGGUCUUCGUCCUACUGUGUGUGUCUGUCUUCACAUGGUUUUCUUAGAAACAUGCUGUUAUUGGAUUUACGAUCCCCUAUAAUCCAGUCUGAUCUUUUUUAUUCACAUCUACAAAGGUGCGAUUUUCAAAUAAUGUUACAUUCACAGAUACCAGAGGUUAGGCUUGAACAUAUGUUUUGGGGACACAGCAUUCUAUCCACUAUCAUUAAGACAUUUAGAAACAGUCGUAGAGAGGGAGAGAACUGUCCCAGGAUGCCCAACCCUGUCACAGGCUGGCGGGGACUGGUGAAGGUAAACCAACAGUGAGAGUAUGCUUCAGCAUCAGCUGCUCUCCCACUUGCUCCUCUCUGCUGACCAGCAUCCUUGGGUAGAGCUGGGGCACCCCAGCCCUCUCCCACUGCAGGGCAGAUUUCCCUCCCACAAGAACAGAGUCUUCUGACCUCUCUUGACUCCUCCUCCCUUCCAGCUUCAGUCUCUGUCUCUGCCUCCCAUUCAGUCCCUUUCUCUGCCCCAAGGUACAUGAAGGACUCUUGCAGACAGGAGCUGCAGAGCUGGCCCCACAGCACCGGAGCUGUCAUUGAAGAGCAGAAUUCCAGCCUUCCAUGGCACAUGUGCUACCUCUGCACUAUUUUGUUCAGAGCUCCAAGAAGCAGGUGCCUUGGGAUUUUCACCAAAGAACAGAAGGAAUAAACCCAUCGCUGUUUUUUUAACCUCCCCCUGCAGAAGAAGCCUUAUUCUCCCCUUUCUGGAAUGUCAGAAACAGUGUCAUUUUGUCCAGGCUGAGUUGUCCUCUUUGCUGGACCCCAGGCCUAGGGCACCCUUGGUGCUUCUCCACCCACCAGUGCUGAGUUCCGGGGCUGUUUGCCCUGCAGGUCCAAGGCUAGAAUAUAAACACCACAAUCCCUCUGGAAACUGGCUGGGACCUCCUCCAGGGAGGAAGGGUUGCUCAUGGGCUGGCCAGCCUCCCAAGCAUCAUGUACAGCAACCCGAAGCUCCACGUUACACAGCUCAGGGCAGGUCCUUAAAUGACCUUCUGCUUCUUGUCUGCCCAUCUGAGAGAACCAUUCCAUUCCAAACAACAUUCCUUCGAUAAAAUCGGUUACACACUGUAAACGUCAGUGAGCCAGGAACAUUCUCCAGUGCAACAGGAUUCUGAUAAAGCAAUCCUAUUUUGCAAAACCUUCCAGAGUGAAACAUCCUCCUCACAGCAGGCGGGGAAAUUCCUGGGAUGCCACGACAUUGGGCAAAGUGUCCAAGGCCCCAGGGAAGGAGCAGAAAGUCUGGAGGUGGAGCUCCCAUUGUGGGCAAAGGGACUUGGGUUUUCAGUCAUCUGUUCAUCAAUCACUCACUUGACAAAUAUUUGCUGAACACAUCCCAUGUGCCAGGCUCUGAUGGAGUCACUAGAAACACAGUGUUUCCACAUGACUGCAAAACUCCCCCGAUGUUCAAAGAGCAGCGACGAUUUCCUCUCCUCACACAGUCCAGGUUAACAAUUGGGUGUAACGUCCACAUGCCUCUCCACCUCACUCGCUCUGUGAGUCUGGAUGUGUUCUUCCAUGAGUGGGCCCUCAUUCUGUUGGCUUUUCUGUUGUCGCUCUCCAUUUGCAGAUGCCUCCUCUUGAGGCUGUUUCUGGGUCUCUCAAUCUCUAUUCUUCAAGUAUCCCUUUGUGUCACAGAGUGCCUCCCAGCCAUUCCUCUGCCUCUCCAUCAGUCUGCCUUUCUUCCAAUCAAUUCAUCUCCAAAUUUUUUUCUCCUUCCUUCUUCUGUUUCUUCUCCUUAACUGAUUGUUGACACAGAAUUAAAUACAUUUUUUUCCCUUAGGUUUGUGGAAUAUACUUUCACAU
Long non-coding RNA from Callithrix jacchus (white-tufted-ear marmoset), 6257 nucleotides. RefSeq lists it as uncharacterized. Lineage: Eukaryota; Metazoa; Chordata; Mammalia; Primates; Cebidae. The record is from RefSeq and is a predicted model, not a curated record.